UACGUAGGGAGCGAGCGUUGUCCGGAAUUACUGGGUGUAAAGGGAGCGUAGGCGGGCGAGAAAGUUGAAUGUUAAAUCUACCGGCUUAACUGGUAGCUGCGUUCAAAACUUCUUGUCUUGAGUGAAGUAGGGGCAGGCGGAAUUCCUAGUGUAGCGGUGAAAUGCGUAGAUAUUAGGAAGAACACCAGUGGCGAAGGCGGCUUGCUGGACAGUAACUGACGUUGAGGCUCGAAAGCGUGGGGAGCAAACAGG
This 252-nucleotide ribosomal RNA is filed under the name uncultured bacterium. RNAcentral's name for it is "partial 16S ribosomal RNA". It matches the Rfam family "Bacterial small subunit ribosomal RNA", at positions 524 to 776 of the family's 1533-position model. The record is from RNAcentral.